RNAcentral lists this ribosomal RNA (483 nucleotides) under uncultured bacterium. RNAcentral describes it as "partial 16S ribosomal RNA". It matches the Rfam family "Bacterial small subunit ribosomal RNA", at positions 29 to 507 of the family's 1533-position model. The record is from RNAcentral.
UUGAACGCUGGCGGCAUGCUUUACACAUGCAAGUCGCACGGCAGCGCGGGCUUCGGCCUGGCGGCGAGUGGCGAACGGGUGAGUAAUACAUCGGAACGUGCCCAGUAGUGGGGGAUAGCUCGGCGAAAGCCGGAUUAAUACCGCAUACGACCUGAGGGUGAAAGCGGGGGAUCUUCGGACCUCGCGCUCUUGGAGCGGCCGAUGGCAGAUUAGCUAGUUGGUGGGGUAAAGGCCUACCAAGGCGACGAUCUGUAGCUGGUCUGAGAGGACGACCAGCCACACUGGGACUGAGACACGGCCCAGACUCCUACGGGAGGCAGCAGUGGGGAAUUUUGGACAAUGGGCGAAAGCCUGAUCCAGCAAUGCCGCGUGUGUGAUGAAGGCCUUCGGGUUGUAAAGCACUUUUGGCGGGAACGAAAAGGACUGUGCCAAUACCACGGUUCGAUGACGGUACCCGCAGAAUAAGCACCGGCUAACUACGUG